Molecule: long non-coding RNA, 355 nt
Organism: Micropterus dolomieu (smallmouth bass)
Lineage: Eukaryota; Metazoa; Chordata; Actinopteri; Centrarchiformes; Centrarchidae
Exons: 2
Source: RefSeq, a predicted model, not a curated record
UCUGAGCUACGUCAUGUGGACUCAGCAAAUAGCGGGACUGAUCGUAAUGCUUGUAUUCACAGUUCUUGUCAUCGGAUCCAGAGAAACAGGUGAAUAAUGAUGCAGACAAAGUCCAGUUUGAAAACGUAAAAGCACAUCCUGCUGCUACUAGACUGCGGUGAUUGACAGAUUCCACACUAACUUCAGCUCACCACAAAAUCAGAUAUCAUCACAGUAAUUUUUCCUGAGUGAUCGAAGCUUUGAGUUAAUAUGAUUGUUUUAUGUUUAGGAUACAUUGCUUGUUGUUUUUACGACUUAAAUGUACAGAAUUUCUGUCCAACUGUUUUCAUGCCAACUACAAGCAGAGACUGAAAAA